RNAcentral lists this ribosomal RNA (252 nucleotides) under uncultured soil bacterium. RNAcentral describes it as "partial 16S ribosomal RNA". It matches the Rfam family "Bacterial small subunit ribosomal RNA", at positions 26 to 287 of the family's 1533-position model. The record is from RNAcentral.
AGGACGAACGCUGGCGGCGUGCUUAACACAUGCAAGUCAAGGGGGCCCAGCAAUGGGCAACCGGCGAACGGGUGCGUAACACGUGAGCAACCUACCGAAAUGUGGGGGAUAGCCGGCCUAACGGCCGAGUAAUACCGCAUACGCUCUCGAUGAGGCAUUUCAUUGAGAGGAAACCUACGGGGCAUUUCGAGGGGCUCGCGGCCUAUCAGCUAGUUGGCGAGGUAACGGCUCACCAAGGCAACGACGGGUAGC